CAAAGCAAAAUGCCCACACUUUACAGACAUGGCGUGAAUCGACUGAGAUACGUAUGAUGCGGUGUCUUGACAACGUUUCAUUAAGUUAGUCUCACGUAUAACAGUUUAUUCACAACCACUAAAACACAUAACGACAGUGAUCUGUGCACGUGUUCUUUGAUUUGCCAAACUGAGAGUUGACGAGCCACACUGCAUGGAAGGCAUCUGUCAUUGUCGAUGCCAUUCUCCCGUUUUGUAAUAUAUACAUUUGUAUAAAUGAAUUCAUUAAUAACUUAUUAGCCACGUGAACCGAGUAUUUUUUCCAAAAAAAACCUUUAAGGGCGGAUCAUGUAGCCUACCGCCUGUUUCUAUAUUUGCGAGUCAGAAUCUCAGAAGCAAUUAUUUGUUUCCCCGUAAUGUGGGCUACUUUUCAAGAAGUCUAUGGUAGUAAAAAUAAACCUUUCUGUUACCUGAACAUUGAAAAUAAGCUCUUCUGAUUCCCUGGGUGGAGAAGAUGGCAGCAUUAGUCGAACAGCUUCAGUGGGAGGCAUCACAGCUGAGUUAUGCCAGCUCAACUGAUUUUACACUCAUUCAGCCAAGACUGUCACUUUACAAUGUGUAAUGUGAAUUUGGAUGUGAAUGUAACUGUGGCAAAAUGCUGGCUCUAAUUAAGAAAGUAUUAAAGUGUGGUUCAUUUUCUUCUCUUAUUGUGUUUGAAGUGUCCAGUUAAAUACCAAUAUGGAUUGCAGUGUAAUUUUGAACCUGAAAAUCUAACUACUGUUGCAUUAGCCUACUUAAUGAGUAGGGACAACUUUUUAUUCACAUGCUCAGUGAGGAGCUGCAAUCCGUAUGGGAUUGUUUCUAAAAAUGAUUAUGAUUUACUUUCACAGAAAAUAUACAUAUGUUGUGUCCGUCA
Long non-coding RNA from Anguilla anguilla (European eel), 895 nucleotides. RefSeq lists it as uncharacterized. The transcript has 2 exons. The record is from RefSeq and is a predicted model, not a curated record. Lineage: Eukaryota; Metazoa; Chordata; Actinopteri; Anguilliformes; Anguillidae.